UGGGGAAUAUUGCACAAUGGGCGCAAGCCUGAUGCAGCCAUGCCGCGUGUAUGAAGAAGGCCUUCGGGUUGUAAAGUACUUUCAGCGAGGAGGAAGGCGUUAAGGUUAAUAACCUUAGCGAUUGACGUUACUCGCAGAAGAAGCACCGGCUAACUCCGUG
This 160-nucleotide ribosomal RNA is filed under the name uncultured Klebsiella sp. Its description in RNAcentral is "partial 16S ribosomal RNA". It matches the Rfam family "Bacterial small subunit ribosomal RNA", at positions 355 to 507 of the family's 1533-position model. Lineage: Bacteria; Pseudomonadati; Pseudomonadota; Gammaproteobacteria; Enterobacterales; Enterobacteriaceae. The record is from RNAcentral.